RNAcentral lists this ribosomal RNA (429 nucleotides) under Chloroflexota bacterium. Its description in RNAcentral is "Chloroflexi bacterium partial 16S ribosomal RNA". It matches the Rfam family "Bacterial small subunit ribosomal RNA", at positions 355 to 776 of the family's 1533-position model. Lineage: Bacteria; Bacillati; Chloroflexota. The record is from RNAcentral.
UGGGGAAUAUUGCACAAUGGGCGCAAGCCUGAUGCAGCCAUGCCGCGUGUAUGAAGAAGGCCUUCGGGUUGUAAAGUACUUUCAGUCGGGAGGAAGGUGUCAAGGUUAAUAACCUUGGCAAUUGACGUUACCGACAGAAGAAGCACCGGCUAACUCCGUGCCAGCAGCCGCGGUAAUACGGAGGGUGCAAGCGUUAUUCGGAAUUACUGGGCGUAAAGCGCACGCAGGCGGUUGAUUGAGUCAGAUGUGAAAUCCCCGGGCUUAACCCGGGAAUUGCAUCUGAUACUGGUCAGCUAGAGUCUUGUAGAGGGGGGUAGAAUUCCAUGUGUAGCGGUGAAAUGCGUAGAGAUGUGGAGGAAUACCGGUGGCGAAGGCGGCCCCCUGGACAAAGACUGACGCUCAGGUGCGAAAGCGUGGGGAGCAAACAGG